Molecule: ribosomal RNA, 449 nt
Filed under: uncultured bacterium
Lineage: Bacteria
Description: partial 16S ribosomal RNA
Rfam family: Bacterial small subunit ribosomal RNA
Source: RNAcentral
AGCGAACGCUGGCGGCAGGCCUAACACAUGCAAGUCGAACGAACUCUUCGGAGUUAGUGGCGGACGGGUGAGUAACACGUGGGAACGUGCCUUUAGGUUCGGAAUAACUCAGGGAAACUUGUGCUAAUACCGAAUGUGCCCUUCGGGGGAAAGAUUUAUCGCCUUUAGAGCGGCCCGCGUCUGAUUAGCUAGUUGGUGGGGUAAUGGCUCACCAAGGCUACGAUCAGUAGCUGGUCUGAGAGGAUGACCAGCCACACUGGGACUGAGACACGGCCCAGACUCCUACGGGAGGCAGCAGUGGGGAAUCUUGCGCAAUGGGCGAAAGCCUGACGCAGCCAUGCCGCGUGAAUGAUGAAGGUCUUAGGAUUGUAAAAUUCUUUCACCGGGGACGAUAAUGACGGUACCCGGAGAAGAAGCCCCGGCUAACUACGUGCCAGCCGCCGCAGUAA